GAUGAACGCUGGCGGUAUGCCUAACACAUGCAAGUCGUACGAGAGUUUUUAACUCAAGUGGCGGACGGGUGAGUAACACGUGAGAAUUUACCUUUAGGAGGGGGACAACAAUUGGAAACGAUUGCUAAUACCCCAUAUGCUCUAGAGUGAAACGGAUUUUUCCGCCUAAAGAAAAGCUCGCGGCUGAUUAGCUUGUUGGUAAGGUAAUGGCUUACCAAGGCGACGAUCAGUAUCUGGUUUGAGAGGACGAUCAGACACACUGGAACUGAGACACGGUCCAGACUCCUACGGGAGGCAGCAGUGGGGAAUUUUCCGCAAUGGGCGAAAGCCUGACGGAGCAAUACCGCGUGAGGGAAGACGGCCUAUGGGUUGUAAACCUCUUUUUUUCAGGGAGGAACGAAAUGACGUGUACCUGAAGAAUAAGCAUCGGCUAACUCCGUGCCAGCAGCCGCGGUAAGACGGAGGAUGCAAGUGUUAUCCGGAAUCACUGGGCGUAAAGCGUCUGUAGGUGGUUUGUUAAGUCAACUGUUAAAUCUUGAGGCUCAACUUCAAAUCAGCAGUCGAAACUAUCAGACUAGAGUAUAGUAGGGGUAAAGGGAAUUUCCAGUGGAGCGG
This 615-nucleotide ribosomal RNA is filed under the name uncultured bacterium. RNAcentral describes it as "bacterial SSU rRNA". It matches the Rfam family "Bacterial small subunit ribosomal RNA", at positions 28 to 681 of the family's 1533-position model. The record is from RNAcentral.